Long non-coding RNA from Herpailurus yagouaroundi (jaguarundi), 242 nucleotides. RefSeq lists it as uncharacterized. Lineage: Eukaryota; Metazoa; Chordata; Mammalia; Carnivora; Felidae. The transcript is spliced from 2 exons. The record is from RefSeq and is a predicted model, not a curated record.
CUCUCUGUCCCUCCCCUGUUUACGCUCUGUCUCUCUCUUUCAAAAAUAAAUAAACAUUAAAAAAAUUAUUUAAAAAGUUGGGGGGCUAGAACUGUAACAUCCCUAUUUCUAUGUUUAUAAACAGUCCUGGGUAGGACACUAUGAGAGCUAAGAUGUAUGGGUAAGGAACACAUAAUCUUAUCAGGAGUAGGGAUUUCUCUUCUUUCUUACUGCAGGAAUCAAUAAAAUUCUUGAUGUUCAAU